AUCAACUAAUUCACUGAAUAUAAUAUUCACUGGAGGGAGGGAGGCUUAUCAUUAAGUGGGUGCUCUGGCCAAGUCAGGGUCUGCUGAAAAAACAAAGUAAACUGACACUGAGGUCAGAGCAGGGCCAGACAAGAGACAACUGUGACCUAAAACAGUGUCAGGAACGUCACCAAAGGACAACAGUGCGGAGAAACCUAGAAGAAUUGCCACUUGACAAUUCACAACACAGAACUGAGACGUUCCGGGCUGUGCCAAAGUUCCGGGCACAUCUUUCCUUGCAGGAAGCCAAAGCUCCCUACAUAGGCCUGUCGGUUCCAGAACGCCUCAGGAAGGCAGGAAAUGGCUCAGAGGCAGGACCACGACCAUCUACGAUGUGAGAUCUCUGGCCUCUGGGUCUCCUGACUGCUAGGUCAGCACUCCAGCAGGCUCCUUGGGUGAGCCAGACCCCCAUCUACCAUGCUAUGGGACUGGUUUCACUUUCUAUCCUCAGAACUGUCUUCACUGACACCAAGAAGCAAACGACAGAGGGGUGGGUCUUCAGGAGACCCAGAAUAAAGAGAGCAAGUAGAGAGUUCAAACAUCCCUGAUACAGUUGAGCAGAAAAGACUCUUCAGAAGCUCCACCUUAUCAAAGAAGGCCUAACACUGACAAGAAACAAUCUUGCCCAUCAGAUCUGUGGCCCCAACUAGCUGACCACAGGUCCUUUCCAUGGCAGCCAGGUUUCCGAGCUGUCCCUCCUCAAAUGUUCCAACACACAGGAAGGAAUCGUUGGGGUUGAUUCUCUUCGUGAUACUGCCUGGCCUUCUAUAAACAUCCAAUUUCACUUCCUCCAGAGACUAAGGAAGAACGAAAAGAGGAGAAGGACUCAGAUGAGACUUACAUUAAAAGAAGAAAUGGAUAACCUGGCUUCACCACUUUCGAAACACUCCGUUCAUCAGUAAACAGCAACCUCUUCUUCUUAGAGACUUCCCCGCCAUCCGCGACAGCCUCGUCUCUACGGCCUGACUCCGAUCCUGCACCUGGCUAUGCACGACAACAGGCCGGUGUUUAAGCCCUCCAGCUGCUGUACCAGAGAGAGAAGGAGAGAGAGAAUCCCAAGCAGGCUCUGCGCUGUCAACACAAAGUCCGAUGCGGGGCUCGAACCCACGAACCGUGAAAUCGUGACCUGAGCUGACGUCAGACGCUCAACCGACUGAGCCACCCAGUGUGGCGCCAGGCCGCUCUCUGCCGCUGCCCUGCCCUGGAAACACACGCAGCCUAAGCACCAUUCCUGCCUCUGCUCUGGGCCUCGGGACUUUUCUUCUUCUUGAAUGAGUGUGCUCCCGCCCCCCAGCUGGUGCUCCACGCCAUCCCCCAGGUCUCAACAACAUACCCCCACCAGGACCACAGGAGCCAGAGCUGGUCGUGCCUGGUGGUCCUCAGGACUGAGAGGCCCUGACCUCCGUGGGGGCAGGAGCCGGCCAGCAUGACCAGUCGGGACUCCCAGGUUAAGAAUCCAGUUGAGCCUCCUGGUCCUCCUCAAUCUGCUCUGCCCUUCGUCUCCCACCCCCAAAUCCCUGCCGACCUCCAGCCCUGAAGAAGCCGGAGAACCUCUGCUUCCCCCACCUCCCCGUCCGCCUUGUCCUACUUCAGUAGUUUGGCUCCUCCGAGCCCUCUUCUUGAUUCAACCUUGCUUGGCCUGUGAAGACUUGAACAAACACGGACGUGGUUGCUGGCAGCUCGUGGCCGCAUCCCUAGUAGGACCCUAGCCUCCCUUAAAGUGCCUGCCUGCCAAACUCCCGGCUGUCUAAAGGAUUGGCUGCUGAGUCCAGCCAACGCCUGAAGAUCGGGCCCCUGUCUCCCAGCUUCUGUGAGAGGGCAGGAGCUUAACUUUGAGAAGUGUCAGCAAAGCCAGAUGGGUCUCAUAUGGGCCAGCGUCCCUUCCUGCUUUUUGUCAUCUUUCACUUCUGAUUAUAGAGCCCCCCACUCAUUCCCUUCCCUAGUCCCUCAUUCUCCCUGUGAAAUACCCCAUCACCUCUGUAAUAAUCCCAGUCGGGUGCCUGCUCACGAUGAACCCUUUCCCCUACGGCACUGCAAUACUAUGUUACUGACUGAAAUCUGUCUGGAUUACUUUAAGUAGUGUCUGCUUUUGUUUAUUUUCAUCAGGGGAGGUGUGCAGGAUCAGCCUUUUAAUUUUUUUUUUUUUAAUAUUUAUUUUUGAGAGAGAGGCAGGGUGCAAGCAGGGGGGUGGGGGAGGGGCAGAGAGCGAGUUAGACACAGACUCCAAAGCGGGCUCCAGGCUCCGCGCUGUCAGCACAGAGCCCGACGUGGGGCUCAAACCCAAGAACCGUGAGAUCAUGACCUGAGCCGAAGUCGGUCGCUCAACUGACUGAACCACCCAGGUGCCCCAACAGCCUUUGAAAUUAAAUUAUUUUCAGGAUCAGCUUUUUAAGUAAGCAUCCCAGGGAUGUUUGCGUAUAGAGGUCCAAAGGCUGUAUUUUGAGAAAUCGUGUUUCCCUGUGGAGAUCUUUUCUCUGGCAGCCCUUUUGAAUGGGGGCUAUGUUUUCUCAGAUACUGCAUUGCCAAUAGUCCAUCCAGCUUUAAUUCCAGUGAGAACGUUCCGGAGAUGAAACUAAGAAUCAACUCCAGGCGCUUCUCCAGUCACCUCUGGGGAUGAGUGUAUGUCGUCAGCAUCCAGCGCCUCACCUGCUGCCCAGCUAGAAUGACACCUUUCAGGGUUUCUGACUUAGAAACACGACCACCAGGUCCUGGAAACCCACGAACCAUCGUUCACAGAUUCCCUCGACAGCAGAAUUCUGCCGAUAAAGCGUACCUGUGUGAAAUUUGGAAGGCGGAGGUGGAAGGAGGUGGAAGCCAUGCUUUUCUCCUCUGUAGCAGCAGACAUGCAGGCUGAAUGUUGGAGUCCAUACUCCCCACCAGUCAGGCUUGGGGCCAUGGGGCUGUAGUGACCCCGGCAGUGGCUUCCCGAAGUUUCCUGACCGAGUGGCAGCAGCAACUUUGAAUCUAUGGAAAGCAACUGUGGUAAAGUAACCUGAGAGCUAGUGGUGCGAUUCCCCCCUGGCCCUGACCUUCACCACCGCGAGCCCCACCAGUGAUCACUCACUCUGGAGGCACCCAGCCAUCAUGCUGUGAGGACACUCAGUCAAACAGCAUGUGGGCAGGCUCAUAUGGCAGGGAUCUGAGGCCUCCCUCCAACCCCCUUGACAGCCAUGUUAAGUGAGUGAACCACCUUGGAAGUGGACCCUUCCGACUCAGUCGAGCCUUCAGAUGACUGCAGCCCUGUGGUAUCUUGAGAAUCUCACAAAAGACCCAGGGGCAGAAGUGCCCAAGCUAUUCCCGAAAUUUUGCCUCAAAACUUUUGAGGAAUGGGGCGCCUGGGUGGCUCAGUUGGUUGAGCGUCUGACUUUGGCUCAGGUCAUGGUCUCACCAUUCAUGGCUCCGGGCCCCGCAUUGGGCUCUGUGCUGACAGCUCAGAGCCUGGAGCCUGCUUCAGAUUCUGUGUCUCCCUCUCUCUCUGCCCGCACGCUCUGUCUCUCUCUCUCCCUCUCUCUCAAAAAUAAACAUUAAAAAAAUUAAAAGAAAUACGGCAAGGUAGCAGUUGAGACUGAUACGUACUGUGCAAAUUUGAGGUCGUGUUAUAGAAACAACAUUUUCUAAGCUUCACUUUAUGAACCACAUUUGAGCUAAUGGAAAUAUUCCAAAAUAGGAGAAUGGAGUUGCCUGGAAUCCCGGCCCACACUUCGGGAAGCCCAACUAUGCCCAGAUGGGUCUUCCUGGUUUCUCGUCAGCUCUGUCUCUGUGUCCACCUCUCUUCUUCAAAAAGUCACCACCGGCCCCCGCUCCACCCAGCUCAUGAAGGAGUUUGAGCUGGUAUGAGGAGUUUCUGCCCUUGUGACCUAAGAGUGACUAAAGGGCCUAGUACUGCGCCUGGCUCAAAGCAGGUGCUCACCAAACAGGAGCGGCCACCAUCCUCAUCGUUGUAAUUAUUGAUUCUUUGAUGGUGACCAUGGCUUAGACGUCUCUGUAGCCCUGCACCCUGCAGCAGGGCAGUAUAACCGUCAGCAGGCUUUGGAGUUAACAGGCCUGGAUUAAACCCCUACCUGGCAGUUUUGGACUUGCGGCCUUGGGCACCUGAACAGGGUACCUACAUCCUUUAAGCCCUGUCCCCUUAUCUGCCAGAUGGGGAUGAUAAAGUAUGUUUUCACGGACUG
Long non-coding RNA from Neofelis nebulosa (Clouded leopard), 4211 nucleotides. RefSeq lists it as uncharacterized. The record is from RefSeq and is a predicted model, not a curated record. The transcript has 7 exons. Lineage: Eukaryota; Metazoa; Chordata; Mammalia; Carnivora; Felidae.